This 2988-nucleotide long non-coding RNA is filed under the name Marmota monax (woodchuck). The record is from RNAcentral. Lineage: Eukaryota; Metazoa; Chordata; Mammalia; Rodentia; Sciuridae.
CAUGAACUAAUUUCAGGUUAAAUAUGAAAAAAACUCCAAGAGACCUAACAACAUGUUUUCCAUCUCUAGGGUUCUUGUGUUUAUUCCUUCGUUAUUCUCUAAACCUCUUGGAAGCACCACUCUUUACAAAUAGGGGAGGUCAAGCCUGGGGUCAUGAUAAAUGUUAAUCCUGGCAAUAAAAGUAGCCCCCAAAGCAGCUGAGGAAUGUUCAUCCUGACCCUCCUGCUCUGGGCAGCUGCGGUGGUGUGGCAGACCCAUCUGCUCCUCCCAGACAGCCACUACUCCCUUCUCCAAAGUCCCCGUGGAACACACUCCUCCCUGGAAGCCUCCUCACACCAGAGGCUCCCUCUGGAACACGCCCUUUGAGCCACCCAAGAAAAUCGAUCUCUUUCAACUCCAGGACUUCAUUUUGCCCCCAAAUGGAACACCCCAGCUCCUGAUGAUCUUUGGCUGUUUGCACAGGUGCCAAUAGAGUCACAGUGAGGAGGGCACCAGGUGUCACCUAGAAAUGAAGUGGUGACUGAGGGGUAUUAGUGAGGACAGCUGCCCCCUGCCUUCUGUAGCACCAUGCCUAGUAUUCCAGACCCUCUUCCAGGUGGUUCAUCUCCAUCAUCUUCUUGGUCCUCAAGGCUUUGGAGAACUGGAGCCAAAGGAAGACCCAAAUUCCCUUGAACAGGGCAGUGUUCACAGGUGAGUGCCACUUCCCCAGGAGCAGCUGUGGAAGGUCAGUGAAGUAGGUGCGUGGAGGGGUUUUAUCAGGGGUUCGUUCCAUAGUCAGCUGGGAACUGAUGUCAUGCCUGAGAACACAGGGUCAGGGUCAAGGAUCAGCCUCAGACUGCCAGAUUGCUCUGGGGGAGACACCUCAGGCUCAUUCCUUCACCACACACAGGUAUGCAUGGUCAGGGCUUCGAGUGGCUCUGGUCCCCUUCAUCCUGCCUCAGUGCUCUCUCCUGGGACUCGAAUGCUUGCCAGGUGGGAGGAGGACUCAAGACUCUGUGCCUCUUAGCGUGCGUGGGCUGCCGAUUGCACAACCCAGACAGCUGCCCGCCGGUCUCUCCCGCCUCUGCCUGUACUGACUCUCAGGCUGUCUCUGGGGCGUUCCUCUGGCUCACCUGCCCUGCCACAGCCACCCAGGCCCAGUGGCUUCCCACUCUCAUUCACUGCAACUACCGCCAGGACUUGACCCUGUCACAAAACUAACUGGAGCCCUGCUGCAAUGAAAGCCAGUCGGAGGCUAAUUGGCUUUGUCAAAAUUGAGGCCCAUGGGCUCUGGAGCCAGCCUGCCUGCCUGAGUCAAAUCCUGGCUCCACCACUUACUAGGUGCAUGAACUUGAACAGCCACUUGACCUUGGUUUCUUCUGCAACAUGGGGCUCCUACAACCUCAUGGGACAGACAGAAAGGUUCAGUGAGUCAGAACAAGCAGUGCUCAGGGUCUGGCACGAAGAAAUUACAGUCGUCUCUUGGGAUUUAGGGAUGGACACACACCAGGCCCCACCCCACACACAACAAAAUCUGCAGAUACUCAAAUCUCUUGUAUAAGAUAGAAUAGUAUUUGCAUAUAAGCAUGCUAUUGUAUAAACUAUCUCUAGAUUACUUACAAUACCUAAUUCAAUGUAAAUAAAUCAUUGCCAUAGUGUAUGAUUUAAGGACUAAUGACAAGAAAAACAUCUGCAUAUUCAGUACAGACGCAAUUUCUUAAUAUUUUCAGUCUGCAGUUGGUUGAAUCCACAGGUGCAGAACCCCCACCUUUAUUACUAGUGCCCUGGAGGUCUGGUUCAAAUUGCUCCUCGCCCCUUCCUUCCUUUCCCUUUCCCUGUGCCUAAGCAUCAAUUGACCCCAUCCCCACAUCCACUCUCUCGUUCUCUCUCUCUCUCUCUCUCUCUCUCUCUCUCUCUCUCUCUCUCUCUCUCUCUCACGCUCUUGCUCUCUCUCGGUAUUGAGGAUUGAAACCAGGGGCGCUUAGCCCCUGAGCCCCAUCCCCAGCCCUUUUUAAUAUCUUAUUUAGAGAUAGGGUCUUGCUGAGUUGCUCAGUGCCUUACUAAGUUACUGAGCCUGUCUUUAAACUUGCAAUCCUCCUGCCUCAGCCUCCCCGAGCCACUGGGAUCUUAGGUGUCUGGCUUACAGUCCUCAUGCAGGUGCUGCCUCCUCCUCUCUAGGCCUCCAGUGCCCUGCUGCCAGCUGUCACAACACCAUGAGCCCCCAGGCCGGCUGCCCGAGGCUCUUCAUGUGCUCACAACCCCAUCUUUUCCUGAGGCCCUUCCAGAGACUGUGCUGACCAGCUUGACCUGCGAGCCCCACUCCUGGUUGACAAACUCCUAGGACCUCCCAUUUGCAAACGUUUUGUUUAAGCCACCUUAACUAAGUAAUCAGUUCCCCCACUUAACCAAUGAUUCAUACACCUGCCUACAAAGGUUUCCAACGAACAAUAGAGAUCCCCCCAUAUUCCCCCACUGAGUGGGCAUAUUUCCUGUCAAAUCGAGAACGCUAUCACCCAGGGGUUCCUGCUCAAUGAUGAACAUACAAUCAACAUGAGUCUUCUGUAAAAUCUUGACCUUCAGGCCUGGAGCCCUGCUACCACCUUAGACCUGAAUGCCCUGGGAGGCUCUUCCUGACUUUUCUAAAGAAGUAGGAUGAACGCACAGCGGGGAGGGUUCCCCAGAGCAGUGUCCUCUCGCUCUUAUGUGAGCCACCCCAGGCUCACAAGCAGCUUGUUGUGAGGAAUGGGUUUCCAGGGCUGGACAGGGUGUCAUCAGACACUAAGGGGACUGUCCCACACCCACAGGCACCAGCCAGGCUUGCAGAGGUGAUAGGAAGAGAUAUUGGCUUCCUGGAACCAAAUGGCCUUGACUGAGGCAGGUCCAGCCUGAUCAGGACUCAGGAGCCCACAGGUCUGGACUCUGACGGGUUAGGAUGGGAAAAGCAGUGCCAAGCCAGGCAGCUUACUAAGCACUUCCAUGCACUGGAGGAAGGAGAGGCAGGAAUUAAAG